Long non-coding RNA from Daphnia pulex (common water flea), 1649 nucleotides. RefSeq lists it as uncharacterized. The record is from RefSeq and is a predicted model, not a curated record. Lineage: Eukaryota; Metazoa; Arthropoda; Branchiopoda; Diplostraca; Daphniidae. The transcript is spliced from 6 exons.
GAGUAUUAUAUUGCUGCCAAGUUGCAAUCUGAGUUGUAUGAUUCUAGUGAGCAUUUGGUAUAACGCGGCCACGGGUGUCUCGUUAUACCUUCUAAGUUCUAACGUGAUUGUAACAAAGCAGCCAAAUGAAGUAAAUGUUUGAAACAGCCCAUUUUUAGAUCACAUUGGUGCUAAAAGUCAAAAUCAUCCUACUACUAGGCUCCAAUGAAACAAAUCUAAGCUUUUCAAGUGCAGUGUGACUGCCAAAGUUACCUCUGCCCAUGGAGACGCCAGCAAUGUAGAACAAAUACUUAAAGCUACACCAACACUCAUCUAUAUGUGGACUGCCAUCAGCAGGAUGUUUGCCUGAAACAAGAAGAAUUCCAAUCUCCAGUCUACAUGGUGAUUGGCGUGGAUUACAGUUCCACUAUCGGCAACAACAACAAAAUCUGUUGAAGAAAAGACACUGAGAAGAACGUCAAUGCUGGUGUGGAAUCGUCGAUACAGGCAACCCAGUUUUGCUUACGUGUUUAAGAUUCAACGGGAAAAAAUCGGGAUAUUCGUUCAACAUCUUCUACAGACAUCCCUUACAAUGUGAACAACAAUAUUAUUGAACUGUAAUCUUUGAGUUAUGACCAUCUUGGAAGCGAAUGCUGGUUCAUUGCAAAACACUUCUUUGGCAGUUUGUGAUUUGUGAUGGUGGUUUCUUGGGGGAAAACUAUGUAGAUAUAAAUCACAGACUUGGUCAUAUGCUAUUUGGAUUUUAAAUGGAAAAAAAUCACAAACAGCCCUUCAGCUUAUCUUGCUAAGUGCUUACGCAGUUAAGCUGAAAAUCCAUCCGUUCCGUCCAGCCCAGUCGUCCGUGGAUGCCGUCCGUGGCUGUCACUAGGUUGCUGGUGGCUAAAAUUAAGUCCGUCUCUUCUUUAGAGCAGACGAUAUUUCGCCAUUUCUUUUAGAAGACGAUGUUUGAUUGACAGUUCGAUGUGGUUUAUUACGGGAUACUCUUUUUCCUGAAAUUUGUCGUCAUACUAAUGGUAACAUAACUACCCUACAAUCUAUACUUGGCAAUUCCAUCUGAUCAUGGCCUGAAACUGGUGUUCAUUUACCCAAAAUGUCGUCUUUUCUGCAUGUACCGGCUCUACGUUUCGUCUCAUGCAGAAAUACUUCAGAACAGUAAUUGUUUAUCUUGUAUGUUCGCGUAGUUGCUGUCCGCUGUGGUACGUUGUUGCAGCCUAUGCUGGUGAUAGAUCCUUCUGCAUCAAGUUCAAUUGGCCGUUUCUUGGUGCUGAUGUUGUGUUACUGAAGUUGUAUCAUAUUUUGUUAAAUUUUCAUCGUGACUUGCAGUUUACCGUUUAUAAGUUCAGAAGCAACAAAAACAAAUAUGGGAUGUAAUGUCAACAAAUAAUUAACAUGUUUCUGGGAUUGGGAUAGGAAAGUGGAGGAUGUUGGAGGGGGGUGGGAGGAUAUGGAUAAAAAUUCAGUUAAUCUAUAACCCUACAAACGUUGCCCUACCAAUUAAUCUCCCAACCCCACAAACAUAUACCUUCCAAUCCUUCAAACCACGAAAACAUACACCUACUAACCCUUAAAUUUAUACCCUUAACCCUAUAAACCAAUGUUAAACCUUAACCAUGUAAUAUCUGUAAUAAAUAAAAAUAAAUAUAUUAAAU